CGGGGUGAGUAAUGUCUGGGAGACUGCCUGAUGGAGGGGGAUAACUACUGGAAACGGUAGCUAAUACCGCAUAACGUCGCAAGACCAAAGAGGGGGACCUUCGGGCCUCUUGCCAUCGGAUGUGCCCAGAUGGGAUUAGCUAGUAGGUGGGGUAACGGCUCACCUAGGCGACGAUCCCUAGCUGGUCUGAGAGGAUGACCAGCCACACUGGAACUGAGACACGGUCCAG
RNAcentral lists this ribosomal RNA (229 nucleotides) under uncultured bacterium. RNAcentral's name for it is "partial 16S ribosomal RNA". It matches the Rfam family "Bacterial small subunit ribosomal RNA", at positions 104 to 334 of the family's 1533-position model. The record is from RNAcentral.